GAUGAACGCUGGCGGCGCGCCUAACACAUGCAAGUCGAACGAUUAAAGCACCUUCGGGUGUGUAUAAAGUGGCGAACGGCUGAGUAACACGUGGGCAACCUGCCCCUUUCAUUGGGAUAGCCACGGGAAACCGUGGAUAAUACCGAAUACUUCGAGACUUCCGCAUGGAAGACUCGAGAAAGCUCCGGCGGAGAGGGAUGGGCCCGCGGCCUGUUAGCUUGUUGGUGGGGUAACGGCCUACCAAGGCAAUGAUGGGUAGCUGGGUUGAGAGACCGACCAGCCAGAUUGGGACUGGGACACGGCCCAGACUCCUACGGGAGGCAGCAGUGGGGAAUCUUGCACAAUGGGCGAAAGCCUGAUGCAGCGACGCCGCGUGCGGGAUGAAGGCCUUCGGGUUGUAAACCGCUUUCAGCAGGGACGAGGCGAAAGUGACGGUACCUGCAGAAGAAGCCCCGGCUAACUACGUG
RNAcentral lists this ribosomal RNA (467 nucleotides) under uncultured bacterium. Its description in RNAcentral is "partial 16S ribosomal RNA". It matches the Rfam family "Bacterial small subunit ribosomal RNA", at positions 28 to 507 of the family's 1533-position model. The record is from RNAcentral.